UUAUCAUUAUCAGAUUGAAUUCUGUAUAAUAAAACAUUAAGUGAUAGAAGUUUUAGAUUUUCAUUUUUGUACAUAUGAUGGAGGAGGUAGAUAGUAUAAUUAUUCACUCGUUACGUCAAAUAGGCUGUGGUAUAAAAGAAGAAGUAACAAAUUUAAGUGGCUUUGAUACAGAAACAGUAGUAGAAGCAACUGUAAAAUGUUUAGAUGCAAUAAGACCAGGUCUUGGAUUGCAUACAACAUUGCCUCCGAACAUGGCAGCACGUUUUCGUUUAGGUGCAACAUUGGCACAAGCAUGUACGGAGCUUGGAUACAAAGGUGAUAUCGGUUAUCAAACAUUUCUCUACAGUUCGGAAAAUGAUUUAAGGAGGGUUUUAAUGUUUUUGAUUGAAAAAUUACCCAAGGAAAGUGAUAAAACUUUAAGCGAACCAACCAGUGAAAUUGCUUUGUUGGAAAAAUCUAUAGCGUCUGUUAUAUCCCAUAGUUUUUCCAUACCAUGGUUACCACACUUUUGUCAUAAAAAGGGAUUCAGAAACAGAGGAAGGGCAAAUGUACCUUAUAAAUCUGUAAAUAUAGAAGUAUCAACAUCCGAUACUGAAGAAGAGUAUCAAGAUUACUAUUUACAUUAUAUGCAACCAGUGCCUAAUCAAAUGCUAACUCAACAAUGUUUUUUACCUUCUAUUCUUUCACACAAUGCAAAAACAAUGCAUUCACAAUCGGUGAAUAUCAAAGAACAUAUCGAUUGGUUGAAUGCUCAACAAGAAAAAAUCAUACAAGUAUCUAAUCACAAUCAAUCAUUUAACAGAGUUACUUUGAAAGAAUCAACAGUAUCAAAGAAUUCUCAAUUGAAUGAGCCAGAUGUUCCAAACACUAAUGAUAAGAUUACAACAACAACAACUGAUGUGCCACAACAAGAACUCGUUUCUAAGAAAGAAGAGAUGCAAGACUUGCAAGUUGAAAAGAUAAAAGAGGAAUGUGAAAACUUUAAACACAAUAUAGAUAGUUUACAAGAGGAAAUAAAGAAAUUAACAGUACAAGUAACACAAGCAUCGUUGACUUAUCAAAACGAGGAAAAGGAAUUAAAAAUAAACAAGGAACAAAGAAAGAUUAAAGCUAAAGCUUAUGAAUUAUAUGAAAAUGGAGAAAAAAAUAUAGAAAAGUUAGAAACUGUUAUUGAAGGUAUUACAGAUAAAUUAUUAAAUUUAGCAAAUCAAUGGGAAAAACAUAGAAUGCCGUUAAUACAAAAAUAUCGAGAAGAAAGAGAAAAACAUUCGACAAAAGCUAGUGUAAGUCAAAAGAAACAGGAUGAAAUAAAACUACUGAAAGAAAAGGAAAAAGAACUUGAAGAAGAAUGCAGAAACAAAGAUCAAUUGUAUUCGCAAUUAGUGGUAGAAGUACAGAAACUUCCUAAAGAAAUAAACAGAUCUGCGUAUACCCAACGAAUUUUAGAAAUAAUAAACAAUGUUAGAAAACAAAGAGACGAGAUUAAUAAAGUAUUGGCGGAUACACGUGAAAUUCAAAAAGAAAUUAACACGCUUACAGGUCGUUUAGAAAGAUCAUUUACGGUAGUGGAUGAAUUAAUAUUUAGAGAUGCAAGGACAAAUGAAGCCUCGAGAAAAGCAUACAAAUUAUUGGCAACAUUACAUUCUGAUUGUAGUGAAUUGGUUAGUUUGGUAGAAGAAACAGGUGCUACAAUACGUGAAAUAAGAGAUUUGGAAGAACAGAUCGACACGGAAUCUGCUAAGAAUGUUGGUGCAAAUCUAGAAAGAAUAACUGCUGAUUUAAAACAAAUGAAACAAGAAACUGCUGCGUUAACUGCACAACUUCAAAAUCGAAAUUCAUGAUCAAAUUAUAAAUGCGAUAAUAUAUUAUAGCACACUCUCAUAAUCAUUAUAAAAAUACUAUAACAAAAAUAUUCGAGUGAAUAUUAUAUUAUUCAUUAAAUACAAGACUAAAUAUGGACAAAUACUUUUAUAGUUAUGUAAAAGCCUUGUAUACAAUUUUAAUAACUUUAGUGUUAUUUAAUGGAUGUAUUUAAUUGUAAAAGGAUGCUGUAAAAAAAUGUGCCUCAGUCUGGAGCACUUGAUAAAUUAAAAACUAUACAGCUUUCAAGUCUCAAAUAUACAAUGGAAUAAAAACAAAACACGUAUGCACAAGUGCUCUAAAAAUAUCCUUGUUACGGAGCCUAAUCUUUUUUUAGUAUAAUAAAAUAUUCAAUAAUAUAUAAGCAAGCUUUCGUAUUCCUUGAAAAAGAAUGUGUACGGUUUGAAACAAAAC
RNAcentral lists this unclassified non-coding RNA (2274 nucleotides) under Polistes dominula (European paper wasp). RNAcentral's name for it is "coiled-coil domain-containing protein 22 homolog, transcript variant X1". Lineage: Eukaryota; Metazoa; Arthropoda; Insecta; Hymenoptera; Vespidae. The record is from RNAcentral.